Molecule: ribosomal RNA, 402 nt
Filed under: uncultured Hyphomicrobiales bacterium
Lineage: Bacteria; Pseudomonadati; Pseudomonadota; Alphaproteobacteria; Hyphomicrobiales
Description: uncultured Rhizobiales bacterium partial 16S ribosomal RNA
Rfam family: Bacterial small subunit ribosomal RNA
Source: RNAcentral
UGGGGAAUAUUGGACAAUGGGCGCAAGCCUGAUCCAGCCAUGCCGCGUGAGUGAUGAAGGUCUUCGGAUUGUAAAGCUCUUUUGGCGGGGACGAUAAUGACGGUACCCGCAGAAUAAGCCCCGGCUAACUUCGUGCCAGCAGCCGCGGUAAUACGAAGGGGGCUAGCGUUGCUCGGAAUCACUGGGCGUAAAGCGCACGUAGGCGGGCUUUUAAGUCGGAGGUGAAAUCCCAGGGCUCAACCCUGGAACUGCCUUCGAUACUGAAAGUCUUGAGUCCGGAAGAGGUAAGUGGAACUCCGAGUGUAGAGGUGAAAUUCGUAGACAUUCGGAAGAACACCAGUGGCGAAGGCGGCUUACUGGUCCGGUACUGACGCUGAGGUGCGAAAGCGUGGGGAGCAAACA